CAGUCGCCACGGUAAUACGUAGGUGGCAAGCGUUGUCCGGAAUUAUUGGGCGUAAAGCGCGCGCAGGCGGAUCAGUCAGUCUGUCUUAAAAGUUCGGGGCUUAACCCCGUGAUGGGAUGGAAACUGCUGAUCUAGAGUAUCGAGAGGAAAGUGGAAUUCCUAGUGUAGCGGUGAAAUGCGUAGAUAUUAGGAAGAACACCAGUGGCGAAGGCGACUUUCUGGACGAAAACUGACGCUGAGGCGCGAAAGCCAGGGGAGCGAACGGGAUUAGAUACCCCUGUAGUCCCUGUCUCUUAUACAC
RNAcentral lists this ribosomal RNA (301 nucleotides) under uncultured bacterium. RNAcentral describes it as "partial 16S ribosomal RNA". It matches the Rfam family "Bacterial small subunit ribosomal RNA", at positions 509 to 810 of the family's 1533-position model. The record is from RNAcentral.